UGGGCUAUAGCUUAAAAAGCAUCUCAGUUACGUUGAGAAGAUCACUGGUUUAGUGUGGCUUAA
Molecule: transfer RNA, 63 nt
Filed under: Typhlatya consobrina
Lineage: Eukaryota; Metazoa; Arthropoda; Malacostraca; Decapoda; Atyidae
Description: tRNA-Val
Source: RNAcentral